Molecule: ribosomal RNA, 310 nt
Filed under: uncultured marine eukaryote
Lineage: Eukaryota
Description: bacterial SSU rRNA
Rfam family: Eukaryotic small subunit ribosomal RNA
Source: RNAcentral
UGGGAAAGUAACCCUUUACUUGGACACUUGCGGUAAUUCUUGAGCUAAUACAUGCAACAACCUCUAUUCACGAAGGGACGCUUUUAUUAGAUCAAAACCAAACGGCUCCGGCUGUCUCGCUGGUGACUCCAAAUUACUUUUGGGCGAAUCCAAUGCCCUUGGCCCGCGAAAUUUUCUUUCAAAGUGGCCCCCUUCCACCUUCGCCCGGGGGUAACACACCACCAGGGUUUUGAACGGGACCGGGGAAUCAAGGGCCCAAUCCCGGAAUGGAGGCUUUAAAACCGCCUCCCACUUAAAAGGAAGCCCCACG